AUUUUAACAUCACUCAGAACGUAAUUGCUUCCUUAGAAUACCAAAAGCAACUAUAUGCAGACAUCAGUGCCACAAUACUUCGACUAAACAAGAUCUUGGCCUGUCUUACCUGGUAAACACAUUUUUCAGCACAUUGUACAGUGCAGUAACCAAGUCCUACCUUCUACUGCAGUGUGUGAGCUACAUCCUUGAGACCAGCAUCACACAAAGCACACAAAUGGAGGAGCACAACUAUCUUGCAAAGAAAUGCAGCCGCAAAAAAAAAAAAAAAUUUGGAUCUCAAUUUCACACUAGCUGUUCAAAACUUACGUCACACAAUACCCCCACUGUUUCUCUCCACUAGCAGGCACCCUACAUGUCAAAUACAUAACGGCCUAAAUCAAACUUUAGAUUAAGGAAAAGAAAUUGAAGACAAAGGAUGUCUGACCAUUUGAUUUAUUGAAUCAUUUGAGAGAACAAGGACAAAACAAAUGAGCAGGAGUCACUUUACAGUCGCCCCAUACACAGCCUAUAUUAACAUUAGGAGGCAAUCUUUUUCAAAGCCACAUGGAAGACAUAACCCACCUAAUUCUACUGUCCUCGGUCCUCAAUUUCGUGGGAAAGAUUUCCUAUCAGAUUCUGAAAAAUCCACAAAUUUAAGUGCGAAUGGGUCUUUUUCAUAAUGCAUAUAACUGGGUGGUUUAUAGUAUUGGGGUGGCUCUUUGGGAGGCUGGUUGGCAGAAGGUUUGCAUUCAGCUGCUGCAGUUGUAGUACAGGGUUGAGGAGUGGUGGUUAUAGGUGGUGCGGUAGGGGUUUUCUGAGGUUGCACUGGGUAUUGUGGAUAAAAUUGCUGCAAAUAAUCUGGGAAAUUUGGGUAAUGGCUAUGCUGAGGGAAUAGACUUCCAGGGUACACUGGGGGUUGCGGUUUCUGGUUUAUUGCUGGCGAAUCUGGUGGGAGAGGAGUGGGGAUGGCUGGAGCUGGUUUCACAGUAGUAUUUGGUUUGCCAUGAUAGUCACUGUAGUAAUAUGGCCACAUAUGGGGUUGCCUUGGAAACUGAGGUUUCUGGAUUGGCACUUGGCCAUCUGAUGGAGAUUGCCCUGCUGGCUUAGCUGUGGGAUAUGGCCACAUCAUAGGGGGGUGCUUCGGAAAUUGAGGUUUCUGGGUUGGCACUUGGCCAUCUGAUGGAGAUAGCCCUGCUGGCUUAGCUGUGGGAUAUGGCCACAUCAUAUGGGGGUACUUAGGAAACUGAGGUUUCUGGAUUGGCACUUGGGCAUCUGAUGGAGAUUGACCUGCUGGCUUAGCUGUGGGAUAACCCUUGCCAGGAUAACGGGAGUAGGGAUAUGGCCACAUCAUAUGGGGGUACUUCGGAAACUGAGGUUUCUGGAUUGGCACUUGGCCAUCUGAUGGAGAUUGCCCUGCUGGCUUAGCGGUGGGAUAUGGCCACAUCAUAUGGGGGUGCUUUGGAAAUUGAGGUUUCUGGGUUGGCACUUGACCAUCUGAUGGAGAUUGCCCUGCUGGCUCAGCUGUGGGAUAACCCUUGCCAGGAUAACGGGAGUAGGGAUAUGGCCACAUCAUAUGGGGGUACUUCGGAAACUGAGGCUUCUGGGUUGGCACUUGGCCAUCUGCUGGAGAUUGCCCUGCUGGCUUAUCUGUGGGAUAACCCUUGCCAGGAUAAUGGGAAUAUGGAUAUGGCCACAUCAUCUGGGGGUGCUUUGGAAACUGAGGUUUCUGGGUUGGCACUUGGCCAUCUGCUGGAGAUUGCCCUGCUGGCUUAGCUGUGGGAUAACCCUUGCCAGGAUAAUGGGAGUAGGGAUAUGGCCACAUCAUAGGGGGGUGCUUUGGAAACUGAGGUUUCUGGGUUGGCACUUGGGCAUCUGAUGGAGAUUGCCCUGCUGGCUCAGCUGUGGGAUAACCCUUGCCAGAAUAUUGGUAACGAGGGUAGUUGUAAGGCCAAAACCCUUGCUGAAACUCUUCAGGGUAGCCGUAAAAUGGCGGUUUGAGAGCUGCAGAUAGUUCUGGCAUUGUACUUAUUUGUAGAUUAAAUUCAUCAGGAUAAAGGGGAGGCAGCAGAAUCUGCUGAUAUGAAGGAUCAUGAGGUCCUAGAAAAGUGUCGUUUGCAGUUGUAGAGGUCAUAGGACAAGAAAUGACUGCACGGUUUCCCUGCCAUUGCAUCUGCAUCACAUAACUCCCUCCCUGAAAGACAUGAACAUUCAGGUUGGUCUUCCUAACUCUGUGUACAUACUAAAUGGAACAGAGAAAGUAAUACCUGUUGUGCAACGCCACAUCCAUCAUAGGGGGUAGCAUAGAUAAGACCACCAUAAGUGGGUAUGGUAGAUCCACAGUUAGGCGGCAACUCACUGAGGGGAACAGCUGCCCCAUUACCUGUGACAAAAAACAUCCCACAUU
Molecule: long non-coding RNA, 2386 nt
Organism: Cyprinus carpio carpio
Lineage: Eukaryota; Metazoa; Chordata; Actinopteri; Cypriniformes; Cyprinidae
Source: Ensembl